AGUUUUACCUGUUUUGUUUUUUAAUUUACCAAAAUAAUUCUUCUUUUAACUGCCGUUAGUUCUCUGAUAUCAUCCUUUCUCCAGCUCCUCUUUCUUUAACCAGCAGUGCCGGAGUUUGCUGAUAUCCUCCUCUUUCUUCUCCGGCGUUAGUUCUCUGAAAAUUUUAUGGUAUGGCGGAGGCGGCAGAGGUAGUGGUAAUAGAGGCCGCAGAGUCUGGGUUCCAGGAUAUCUGACCUUGCAAACUGCUUCGGUCGUCUUUCUCAUUGCUAUCGCUAACUUCUAAGGUUCUAUUUCAGAUUUGAAUCAUCGUUAUCGGUGAUUUGAAGUGUUAAGCUGCGGAUUUUCAAGAAAAUGGGGAGCAUAAAUUGUAAUGCAGUGCACAUAAAAACCUCUGAAAUGAAGGGAUUUUGCUUAGUACUCCUGUUUUAAACAAG
Molecule: long non-coding RNA, 434 nt
Organism: Mercurialis annua (annual mercury)
Lineage: Eukaryota; Viridiplantae; Streptophyta; Magnoliopsida; Malpighiales; Euphorbiaceae
Exons: 2
Source: RefSeq, a predicted model, not a curated record